This 31-nucleotide small RNA is filed under the name Bombyx mori (domestic silkworm). RNAcentral's name for it is "ovarian small RNA-28736". The record is from RNAcentral. Lineage: Eukaryota; Metazoa; Arthropoda; Insecta; Lepidoptera; Bombycidae.
UCGCCUCCCUGGACCCCGCUCGAUGGCGGCG